GAUGAACGCUGGCGGCGUGCCUAAUACAUGCAAGUCGAGCGAACAGACGAGGAGCUUGCUCCUCUGACGUUAGCGGCGGACGGGUGAGUAACACGUGGAUAACCUACCUAUAAGACUGGGAUAACUUCGGGAAACCGGAGCUAAUACCGGAUAAUAUAUUGAACCGCAUGGUUCAAUAGUGAAAGACGGUUUUGCUGUCACUUAUAGAUGGAUCCGCACCGCAUUAGCUAGUUGGUAAGGUAACGGCUUACCAAGGCAACGAUGCGUAGCCGACCUGAGAGGGUGAUCGGCCACACUGGAACUGAGACACGGUCCAGACUCCUACGGGAGGCAGCAGUAGGGAAUCUUCCGCAAUGGGCGAAAGCCUGACGGAGCAACGCCGCGUGAGUGAUGAAGGUCUUCGGAUCGUAAAACUCUGUUAUUAGGGAAGAACAAAUGUGUAAGUAACUAUGCACGUCUUGACGGUACCUAAUCAGAAAGCCACGGCUAACUACGUG
RNAcentral lists this ribosomal RNA (497 nucleotides) under uncultured bacterium. Its description in RNAcentral is "partial 16S ribosomal RNA". It matches the Rfam family "Bacterial small subunit ribosomal RNA", at positions 28 to 507 of the family's 1533-position model. The record is from RNAcentral.